UCGUGGAGCUACGGCUCUUCGAGGGAGAACCCUUGCCUUUUCGAGCACCUGUUUGUUUCCUCGGCAGGCCCGCCUGCCAAUGGGGACCCUUUAAACCUCUUGCAAUAACCUGUACAAAAUCGUCUGAACUAAAAAAAAAUCUAAAUCA
Molecule: unclassified non-coding RNA, 148 nt
Filed under: soil metagenome
Description: partial internal transcribed spacer 1
Source: RNAcentral